CCCUUAGAUGUUCUGGGCCGCACGCGCGCUACACUGACGAAGUCAGCGAGCAUGUCCUACGCCGACAGGUGCGGGGAAUCUUGUCAAACUUCGUCGUGAUGGGGAUUGAUUAUUGAAAUUCUUGAUCAUCAACGAGGAAUUCCUAGUAAGCGCAAGUCAUCAGCUUGCGUUGAUUACGUCCCUGCCCUUUGUACACACCGCCCGUCGCUAGUACCGAUUGAAUGGCUUAGUGAGGCUUCAGGAUUUGCUUAGAUCGAGGGGCAACUCUCUUUCAGAGCGGAGAAUCUAGUCAAACUUGGUCAUUUAGAGGAACUAAAAGUCGUAACA
Molecule: ribosomal RNA, 327 nt
Filed under: uncultured eukaryote
Lineage: Eukaryota
Description: partial 18S ribosomal RNA
Rfam family: Eukaryotic small subunit ribosomal RNA
Source: RNAcentral